RNAcentral lists this long non-coding RNA (1271 nucleotides) under Pongo abelii (Sumatran orangutan). Its description in RNAcentral is "lincRNA". Lineage: Eukaryota; Metazoa; Chordata; Mammalia; Primates; Hominidae. The record is from RNAcentral.
AGAAAAGGUCUGGCUCUGCCACCCAAGCUGGAGGACAGUGGCACCAGCUCCACUCACUGUAACCUUUGCCUCCCAAGUUCAAGUGAUUCUUGUCCCUCAGCCUCCCAAGUAGCUGGGACUACAGAUAUGGACACUAUUGAUGGGAGCGGCUGGCCAUCUGGAGUGGCAGUUGCCAUCAUGCCAGUAGCGCUUGGGCCGCACGGGCAGUGUUGUCAGGAGCAGCAGCAGGAGCAGCAGUGGCGGUGGUAGGACCCCGUUCCCUGUGUCCUCAAGGCAUCUGACUGCGCCGCCCCCUAAUGGCUGGGCAGGACCCACUCCCAGGUGCAGACCCUCCAUGGUGGCCUCAACUUCGCUUCCCACCACAUCUGGGAGCCCAUCAGCGCUGGCAGCCGGGUCUUGCAGGAUUGGCCCCAGGAGCAUCAGGUUCAUUUGUGCGGCAUUAGCCAGGGCCCCCAUGCCACCUGCACCUCGCCCGUGCACUACUGCAGGGAAAACGCAGAGAGGAGUCACGGCCAGGGCUGCACACUCUAUGGAGCCAGUGGGAGCUGGGGACAAGUGGGAGCCCAGCCCCUUCCAAGUUGCCAGGGCAGUAACUCCCCAGGCGCAACUGCAGCUGCCCAAGGAGGGUCUGCGACCCAGGCAGUCCUGUGCUCUUGGGAGCCAGGAGAAGGCAGGAGCCCCACCCUCCCAGGUACAGCUGGAGCCUUUCAAGCCACGGCUGCAGACCCAGGCACUCUGCACUCUUGGUGCCUGGGAGGGCCCCCGUGACCCCACAGGCUCAGAAGUGCCUGCGCCCACUGUCUGGGUUCUCCUCGCUGUCAGCACCUGCUCCAAUCUUUGAGCAAAUUUGAGGUCGAGCACACUAUAUUGUGCCCAAUAUAAAAUAGAUAUAAAAAUACCUCUUACACUUAAAUCCAGGCAUUGUCAUUUGAAUGACUUAAGAAUAUGCAGCUAAGGUGCUUUUGAAAAUACAAGCUAGUGAUUAUACUGAAUUUGUAAAUCACGUAGGAUAGUGAGUCAUUUUAGAAUAUUAAUUAUUUCAGUCCAUAAACCUGGAUGUCUUUCCUUUUCUGUGUUUUCUUUAAUUUCUUUCAUUGAUGUUUGUAAUUUUUGUUGUAGAAAUCUUUUACUUCCUCGGUUAAGUUUAUUUCUACAAUAGCUACAUUUUUGUAGCUAUUGUAAAAGAAAUAGCUUCCUGAAUUUUUUUUCAGCUAGUUUACUAGCAACAUAUAGAAAUGCUACUGUUUUUUGUAUGUUGAUUUUAUAUCCUU